AAGUCGUAACAAGGUUUCCGUAGGUGAACCUGCGGAAGGAUCAUUCAUAAUCAAGUGUUUUUAUAGCACUUUCAAAAAUCCAUAUCCACCUUGUGUGCAAUGUCAUCUCUCUGGGGGCUGCCGGCUGUCAAAAGCCGUGUGGUCACCUUUGGGAUUUAUAUCUACUCAGAACUUUAGUGAUUUUGUCUGAAACAUAUUAUGAAUACUUAAUUCAAAAUACAACUUUCAACAACGGAUCUCUUGGCUCUC
This 249-nucleotide unclassified non-coding RNA is filed under the name Mortierella alpina. Its description in RNAcentral is "partial internal transcribed spacer region". The stretch from base 1 to 46 matches the Rfam family "Eukaryotic small subunit ribosomal RNA", at positions 1786 to 1831 of the family's 1831-position model. The record is from RNAcentral. Lineage: Eukaryota; Fungi; Mortierellomycota; Mortierellomycetes; Mortierellales; Mortierellaceae.